RNAcentral lists this transfer RNA (41 nucleotides) under Abrus pulchellus subsp. cantoniensis. RNAcentral's name for it is "partial tRNA-His". The record is from RNAcentral. Lineage: Eukaryota; Viridiplantae; Streptophyta; Magnoliopsida; Fabales; Fabaceae.
GGCGGAUGUAACCAAGUGGAUCAAGGUAGUGGAUUGUGAAU